Molecule: long non-coding RNA, 352 nt
Organism: Drosophila albomicans
Lineage: Eukaryota; Metazoa; Arthropoda; Insecta; Diptera; Drosophilidae
Exons: 2
Source: RefSeq, a predicted model, not a curated record
CAAUUAUUUUAAUUGAAGCUUUGGCGUUUCUAUUAGAAUAUAGUUUUCAUAUAUUCUUCGUAAAUAGAAAAAUUUUACCAAUAUUACAUAAGAAGAUCAUAUAAAAAGAAGAAAUUUAUCGAGUCCCUGGUGUAUUUUGAAUACUGUUCAAUAAAGGAGAGAAUGAUAUUGUUUGGAAUAUUUUUCUUGCUGAUUGUGCUUUCUUCUGUAUGUGGCCUGUAUCCCGGGAAUAAAUGGAUAGAAGCAGAACGGAGAAUGUGGGAAAAGAACAGAAGACCAGUUACUAUCGAUUAAUUGUAAUAUUUUUUAGCUAUUAUGAUUGUGAAUAAAAAAGGAAAUUAUAAAAAACCUU